GGCCGCGGGAAUUCCUUUCAGGCCUAACACAUGCAAGUCGAACGGAAAGGCCCUCCUUGCAGGGUACUCGAGUGGCGAACGGGUGAGUAACACGUGGGUGAUCUGCCCUGCACUUCGGGAUAAGCCUGGGAAACUGGGUCUAAUACCGGAUAGGACCAUCGUUUAGUGUCGGUGGUGGAAAGUUUUUCGGUGCAGGAUGAGCUCGCGGCCUAUCAGCUUGUUGGUGGGGUAAUGGCCUACCAAGGCGUCGACGGGUAGCCGGCCUGAGAGGGUGGACGGCCACAUUGGGACUGAGACACGGCCCAGACUCCUACGGGAGGCAGCAGUGGGGAAUAUUGCACAAUGGGCGCAAGCCUGAUGCAGCGACGCCGCGUGGGGGAUGAAGGCCUUCGGGUUGUAAACUCCUUUCAACCAUGACGAAGCAUUAUGUGACGGUAGUGGUAGAAGAAGCACCGGCUAACUACGUGCCAGCAGCCGCGGUAAUACGUAGGGUGCGAGCGUUGUCCGGAAUUACUGGGCGUAAAGAGCUCGUAGGUGGUUUGUCGCGUCGUCUGUGAAAUUCCGGGGCUUAACUCCGGGCGUGCAGGCGAUACGGGCAUAACUUGAGUGCUGUAGGGGAGACUGGAAUUCCUGGUGUAGCGGUGAAAUGC
Molecule: ribosomal RNA, 650 nt
Filed under: uncultured bacterium
Lineage: Bacteria
Description: bacterial SSU rRNA
Rfam family: Bacterial small subunit ribosomal RNA
Source: RNAcentral